This 253-nucleotide ribosomal RNA is filed under the name uncultured bacterium. RNAcentral's name for it is "partial 16S ribosomal RNA". It matches the Rfam family "Bacterial small subunit ribosomal RNA", at positions 524 to 776 of the family's 1533-position model. The record is from RNAcentral.
UACAGAGGUCUCAAGCGUUGUUCGGAAUUACUGGGCGUAAAGCGUGCGCAGGCGGUUUGCUAAGACAGGUGUGAAAUCCCCGGGCUUAACCUGGGAACUGCGCUUGUAACUGGCAAGCUAGAGUGUGGCAGAGGGGGGUGGAAUUCCACGUGUAGCAGUGAAAUGCGUAGAGAUGUGGAGGAACACCGAUGGCGAAGGCAGCCCCCUGGGCUAACACUGACGCUCAUGCACGAAAGCGUGGGGAGCAAACAGG